This 328-nucleotide ribosomal RNA is filed under the name uncultured eukaryote. RNAcentral's name for it is "partial 18S ribosomal RNA". It matches the Rfam family "Eukaryotic small subunit ribosomal RNA", at positions 1470 to 1796 of the family's 1831-position model. The record is from RNAcentral.
CCCUUAGAUGUCCUGGGCCACACGCGCGUUACACUGAUGCAUUCAACGAGCUUAUAACCUUGGCCGAGAGGCCUGGGCAAUCUUGUUAACGUGCAUCGUGAUAGGGAUAGAUUAUUGAAAUUAUUAAUCUUGAACGAGGAAUUCCUAGUAAACGCAGAUCAUCAAUCUGCAUUGAUUACGUCCCUGCCCUUUGUACACACCGCCCGUCGCACCUACCGAUUGGAUGGUCCGGUGAAGCCUCGGGAUUGUGGUUCUUGCCGCUUUGUUGUGGCGUGACCGCGAGAACUUGUCUAAACCUUAUCAUCUAGAGGAAGGUGAAGUCGUAACA